Molecule: ribosomal RNA, 440 nt
Filed under: uncultured bacterium
Lineage: Bacteria
Description: partial 16S ribosomal RNA
Rfam family: Bacterial small subunit ribosomal RNA
Source: RNAcentral
CCUACGGGAGGCUGCAGUGGGGGAUAUUGCACAAUGGGGGGAACCCUGAUGCAGCGCCGCCGCGUGGGUGAAGAAGCGCCUCGGCGCGUAAAGCCCUGUCAGCAGGGAAGAAAAUGACGGUACCUGAAGAAGAAGCCCCGGAUAACUACGUGCCAGCAGCAGCGGUAAUACGUAGGGGGCAAGCGUUAUCCGGAUUUACUGGGUGGAAAGGGGGCGCAGACGGCGAUGCAAGCCAGGAGUGAAAGCCCGGGGCCCAACCCCGGGACUGCUCUUGGAACUGCGUGGCGGGAGUGCAGGAGGGGCAGGCGGAAUUCCUGGUGGAGCGGUGAAAUGCGUAGAUAUCAGGAGGAACACCGGUGGCGAAGGCGGCCUGCUGGACUGCAACUGACGUUGAGGCCCGAAAGCGUGGGGAGCAAACAGGAUUAGAUACCCGGGUAGUC